GGAAGUAAAGUCGUAACAAGGUUUCCGUAGGUGAACCUGCGGAAGGAUCAUUAUUGUAUAACCGAGGUGCGAGGGCUGUCGCUGACCCGAAAGGUCGUGCACGCCCGAGUGCCCUCACACACAUCCAUCUCACCCUAUGUGCACCACCGCGUGGGUCCCCCUUUGGCUUGUUCGGAGGGGGGCUUACGUUUUCACACAAACUUUGUAUGCAGUGUAGAAUGUAUUUUUUGUUUUUGCGAUCACGCAAUCAAUACAACUUUCAACAACGGAUCUCUUGGCUCUC
This 283-nucleotide unclassified non-coding RNA is filed under the name plant metagenome. RNAcentral's name for it is "partial contains small subunit ribosomal RNA, internal transcribed spacer 1, and 5.8S ribosomal RNA". The stretch from base 1 to 53 matches the Rfam family "Eukaryotic small subunit ribosomal RNA", at positions 1778 to 1831 of the family's 1831-position model. The record is from RNAcentral.